GUCGAGAAGUGGUACAUAUCUCCACUCGAUCUCUCCAAGCACUCCUCGAUCAUUGCUGAGGAAAAGCGUAGCUCGUCUUUGUGAUCCCCUACGUGUUCUUUAUUUUUCUACGAACUAUGUGAUCUGCCUAAAAUAUUUCUGAGAUCGAUCUUUCACCUACCGAAGUAUCAUAGCUAUUCUUCAUAGCCCAAAAGAUGACCUAAAGAAUGAAUAUUGAUGUAGAACUGCCUAUGAUCGACUGCAUCUAGC
This 249-nucleotide long non-coding RNA is filed under the name Elaeis guineensis (African oil palm). Its description in RNAcentral is "long non-coding RNA (EGUI_LNC031065)". Lineage: Eukaryota; Viridiplantae; Streptophyta; Magnoliopsida; Arecales; Arecaceae. The record is from RNAcentral.